AGCAGCGUAGCUCAGUGGAAAGAGCCCGGGCUUGGGAGUCGGAGGCCACCGGUUCGAAUCCCGGCUCUGCCA
Molecule: transfer RNA, 72 nt
Filed under: Ornithorhynchus anatinus (platypus)
Lineage: Eukaryota; Metazoa; Chordata; Mammalia; Monotremata; Ornithorhynchidae
Rfam family: tRNA
About the family: Transfer RNA (tRNA) molecules are approximately 80 nucleotides in length. Their secondary structure includes four short double-helical elements and three loops (D, anti-codon, and T loops).
Source: Rfam by way of RNAcentral